RNAcentral lists this ribosomal RNA (176 nucleotides) under Escherichia coli. RNAcentral describes it as "partial 16S ribosomal RNA". It matches the Rfam family "Bacterial small subunit ribosomal RNA", at positions 1 to 168 of the family's 1533-position model. Lineage: Bacteria; Pseudomonadati; Pseudomonadota; Gammaproteobacteria; Enterobacterales; Enterobacteriaceae. The record is from RNAcentral.
UUAAAUUGAAGAGUUUGAUCAUGGCUCAGAUUGAACGCUGGCGGCAGGCCUAACACAUGCAAGUCGAACGGUAACAGGAAGCAGCUUGCUGCUUCGCUGACGAGUGGCGGACGGGAGAGUAAUGUCUGGGAAACUGACUGAUGGAGGGGAAUAACUACUGGAAACGGUAGCUAAUA